Molecule: ribosomal RNA, 301 nt
Filed under: uncultured bacterium
Lineage: Bacteria
Description: partial 16S ribosomal RNA
Rfam family: Bacterial small subunit ribosomal RNA
Source: RNAcentral
CAGUAGCCGCGGGAAAACAGAGGGUGCGAGCGUUAAUCGGAUUUACUGGGCGUAAAGCGUGCGUAGGCGGCUUCUUAAGUCGGAUGUGAAAUCCCUGAGCUUAACUUAGGAAUUGCAUUCAAAACUGACUGACUAGAGUAUGGUAGAGGGUGGUGGAAUUUCCUGUGUAGCGGUGAAAUGCGUAGAUAUAGGAAGGAACACCAGUGGCGAAGGCGACCACCUGGACUAAUACUGACACUGAGGUGCGAAAGCGUGGGGAGCAAACAGGAUUAGAUACCCCAGUAGUCCCUGUCUCUUAUAC